Molecule: small RNA, 160 nt
Filed under: Echinops telfairi (small Madagascar hedgehog)
Lineage: Eukaryota; Metazoa; Chordata; Mammalia; Afrosoricida; Tenrecidae
Description: 7SK RNA (ENSETEG00000025302.1)
Rfam family: 7SK RNA
About the family: 7SK was discovered as an abundant small nuclear RNA in the mid-70s but a possible function has only recently been suggested. Two independent studies have found that 7SK RNA binds the CDK9/cyclin T complex (known as elongation factor P-TEFb).
Source: RNAcentral
NNNNNNNNGAAACUACGCACUCCUUUGAAGAGGACAACCUUCCCUGAGUGAGAAGGGGGUAUCCUUAAGUCAAGGGUAUAGGCGUAACUGUGAUACCUUGCUAGAACCUCCAAGCAAGCUCUCACGAGAUGAUUAAUACAUAAUGAGAAGAAAUGAAAGU